This 640-nucleotide ribosomal RNA is filed under the name uncultured bacterium. RNAcentral's name for it is "bacterial SSU rRNA". It matches the Rfam family "Bacterial small subunit ribosomal RNA", at positions 231 to 885 of the family's 1533-position model. The record is from RNAcentral.
UCGCGGCCUAUCAGCUUGUUGGUGGGGUAACGGCCCACCAAGGCAGCGACGGGUAGCUGGUCUGAGAGGAUGUCCAGCCACACUGGGACUGAGACACGGCCCAGACUCCUACGGGAGGCAGCAGUGGGGAAUCUUGCGCAAUGGGCGAAAGCCUGACGCAGCGAUGCCGCGUGCGGGAUGAAGGCCUUCGGGUUGUAAACCGCUUUCAGCAGGGACGAAAUUGACGGUACCUGCAGAAGAAGCCCCGGCCAACUACGUGCCAGCAGCCGCGGUAAUACGUAGGGGGCGAGCGUUGUCCGGAUUUAUUGGGCGUAAAGAGCUCGUAGGCGGUUCCAUAAGUCGGACGUGAAAUCUCCACGCUCAACGUGGAGGGGCCGUUCGAUACUGUCGUGACUCGAGUCCGGUAGGGGAGUGUGGAAUUUCCGGUGUAGCGGUGAAAUGCGCAGAGAUCGGGAGGAACACCCGUAGCGAAGGCGGCACUCUGGGCAUGUCCUGACGCUGAGGAGCGAAAGUGUGGGGAGCGAACAGGAUUAGAUACCCUGGUAGUCCACACCGUAAACGUUGGGCGCUAGGCGUGGGGCCUAUUCCAUGGGUUCCGUGCCGCAGCUAACGCAUUAAGCGCCCCGCCUGGGGAGUACGG